Molecule: ribosomal RNA, 423 nt
Filed under: uncultured bacterium
Lineage: Bacteria
Description: bacterial SSU rRNA
Rfam family: Bacterial small subunit ribosomal RNA
Source: RNAcentral
AAGACCUUGCGCUUUUGGAGCGGCCGAUGUCUGAUUAGCCUGUUGGUGAGGUAAAAGCUUACCAAGGCUUCGAUCAGUAGCUGGUCUGAGAGGACGGCCAGCCACACUGGGACUGAGACACGGCCCAGACUCCUACGGGAGGCAGCAGUGGGGAAUUUUGGACAAUGGGGGCAACCCUGAUCCAGCCAUGCCGCGUGAGUGAAGAAGGCCUUCGGGUUGUAAAGCUCUUUCAGCCGGAACGAAACGGUUACGGUUAAUACCCGUGACUACUGACGGUACCGGAAGAAGAAGCACCGGCUAACUACGUGCCAGCAGCCGCGGUAAUACGUAGGGUGCAAGCGUUAAUCGGAAUUACUGGGCGUAAAGCGUGCGCAGGUGGUUUUGUAAGUCAGAUGUGAGAUCCCCGGGCUUAACCUGGGAACU